AGCGAACGCUGGCGGCAGGCCUAACACAUGCAAGUCGAACGAACCUUUCGGGGUUAGUGGCGGACGGGUGAGUAACACGUGGGAACGUGCCUUUAGGUUCGGAAUAACUCAGGGAAACUUGUGCUAAUACCGAAUGUGCCCUUCGGGGGAAAGAUUUAUCGCCUUUAGAGCGGCCCGCGUCUGAUUAGCUAGUUGGUUGAGGUAAUGGCUCACCAAGGCGACGAUCAGUAGCUGGUCUGAGAGGAUGAUCAGCCACAUUGGGACUGAGACACGGCCCAAACUCCACCGGAGGGCGGAAGUGGGAAUCUUGCGCAAUGGGCGAAAGCCUGACGCAGCCAUGCCGCGUGAAUGAUGAAGGUCUUAGGAUUGUAAAAUUCUUUCACCGGGGACGAUAAUGACGGUACCCGGAGAAGAAGCCCCGGCUAACUUCGUG
RNAcentral lists this ribosomal RNA (433 nucleotides) under uncultured bacterium. RNAcentral describes it as "partial 16S ribosomal RNA". It matches the Rfam family "Bacterial small subunit ribosomal RNA", at positions 29 to 507 of the family's 1533-position model. The record is from RNAcentral.